Heteronotia binoei (common prickly gecko) is the source of this 1011-nucleotide long non-coding RNA. RefSeq lists it as uncharacterized. NCBI's taxonomy places the organism in Eukaryota, Metazoa, Chordata, Lepidosauria, Squamata, Gekkonidae. The transcript has 3 exons. The record is from RefSeq and is a predicted model, not a curated record.
ACACUUGUUACUAUUGGCACAUUUCCUGCAAAAGCCAACCCCUGUCAGUGACGUUGGUUUCCCUCGCCUCCGUAAACGUCAUCAAAAUAAGCCACCCUCUUUCCCGUCUCCUACAAAAGACCAACUGCUUCCUGCGACCUCAGCGUUUACUGGAAGUCACUUUCAAGGGCUACGGUGGAACCUACUUCUGAGCAAAUAUAUAUAAGCUCAGAUUGUUUCAAACAAGAAACAUCACCACAAAUCUAGUGGGAGCAGAUCGUCGGUUUGGAGUUUGUUUCCUUCCCAUAAGAAAAAUGGCUGCUUAUUCUACAUACCCUUAUCCUUCUCUAUCCGGAGUAGCGGAUGACGCCACUUCCCGAAAUUCGCGGGUGAGGCGAGUUUGUUGCUACUGUCGUUGAGGGCGGAAUGGCGCUAGCGAAUAGACGGAUACUUGAAUGGAUAUACUUUCUGAUUCUUCUCACGACUGUACUGCUCUCGUGGGGAUUUGUCAUUUAUGCAACACGUUUGGCAGCCCAGUGGCAGCUGAAAGACAACUACCCUACACAACCCUACAAUUUUUGAGAGACACUAAAACAGAGAGACUUCUGAAAGCUAUGUGGAAGUUCAGGCACUCUAAAAGUACUCCUACCUUCAUGGAUACUAACGCAGUGAAACAGAACCAGAGUCCAAAGAUUUAAGAAAACAUGCCGAGACUUCAGAAGUAGAAUAGCGGGACCUUGUACAGAGAUGUGAUUUUCUCACUCUGGUCAACAAAUACUUCAAAUUUUACACCAGCAAAGGGCUAUGUAUAUAAAGAUCUCCAGUCCCAUAUGUUUCACUGAGGGUUAUGCUGGUACAGUUCAGAAGGAUCAGACACAAUGCAUCCUGAAAGAAUCACUAUGAACAAUCCCCACUAAUUUUGUGCAUCUGUUUUGUUUGGUUUAAGUGGCAAAACUGACUUGGCUUGAGCGGGUCACCCACUCAUUUCAUGGUUAAAAAUGACAUUUUAUUAUAAAAAUAAUUAUUUCUAAA